GGGGAUGUAGCUCAUAUGGUAGAGCGCUCGCUUCGCAUGCGAGAGGUACGGGGAUCAAUACCCUGCAUCUCCA
RNAcentral lists this transfer RNA (73 nucleotides) under Ipomoea nil (Japanese morning glory). It matches the Rfam family "tRNA". Rfam says of the family: Transfer RNA (tRNA) molecules are approximately 80 nucleotides in length. Their secondary structure includes four short double-helical elements and three loops (D, anti-codon, and T loops). The record is from Rfam by way of RNAcentral. Lineage: Eukaryota; Viridiplantae; Streptophyta; Magnoliopsida; Solanales; Convolvulaceae.